GAUGAACGCUGGCGGCGUGCCUAAUACAUGCAAGUCGAGCGAACAGACGAGGAGCUUGCUCCUUUGACGUUAACGGCGGACGGGUGAGUAACACGUAGGUAACCUACCUAUAAGACUGGGAUAACUUCGGGAAACCGGAGCUAAUACCGGAUAAUAUUUCGAACCGCAUGGUUCGAUAGUGAAAGAUGGCUUUGCUAUCACUUAUAGAUGGACCUGCGCCGUAUUAGCUAGUUGGUAAGGUAACGGCUUACCAAGGCAACGAUACGUAGCCGACCUGAGAGGGUGAUCGGCCACACUGGAACUGAGACACGGUCCAGACUCCUACGGGAGGCAGCAGUAGGGAAUCUUCCGCAAUGGGCGAAAGCCUGACGGAGCAACGCCGCGUGAGUGAUGAAGGUCUUCGGAUCGUAAAACUCUGUUAUUAGGGAAGAACAAACGUGUAAGUAACUGUGCACGUCUUGACGGUACCUAAUCAGAAAGCCACGGCUAACUACGUG
Molecule: ribosomal RNA, 497 nt
Filed under: uncultured bacterium
Lineage: Bacteria
Description: partial 16S ribosomal RNA
Rfam family: Bacterial small subunit ribosomal RNA
Source: RNAcentral